GAAGUAACUCGCCUCUUGACCUACAUAUAAGAGGUCCCGCCUGCCCUGUGACUAUAAGUUUAACGGCCGCGGUAUCUUAACCGUGCGAAGGUAGCGCAAUCACUUGUCUCUUAAAUAGCGACCUGUAUGAAUGGCAUAACGAGGGCUUAACUGUCUCCUUUCUCAAGUUAAUGAAAUUGACCUCCCCGUGCAGAGGCGGGGAUAUAAACAUAAGACGAGAAGACCCUAUGGAGCUUUAGGCACUAAGGCUGCCCACGUAAAAACCUCCUAUAAAAGAAUAUAACUUUGUGGAGCCAGCCUAAUUGCCUUUGGUUGGGGCGACCGCGGGGAAACACAAAACCCCCAUGUGGAAUGGGGUCACUACAACCCUAAAGACGAGAGCUCCCGCUCUAAUAAACAGAAAUUCUGACCUUACUGAUCCGGUUUUGACCGAUCAACGAACCGAGUUACCCUAGGGAUAACAGCGCAAUCCCCUUAUAGAGCCCAUAUCGACAAGGGGGUUUACGACCUCGAUGUUGGAUCAGGAUAUCCUAAUGGUGCAGCCGCUAUUAAGGGUUCGUUUGUUCAACGAUUAAAAUCCU
This 581-nucleotide ribosomal RNA is filed under the name Aluterus monoceros (unicorn leatherjacket). Its description in RNAcentral is "partial 16S ribosomal RNA". It matches the Rfam family "Bacterial large subunit ribosomal RNA", at positions 1807 to 2597 of the family's 2925-position model. The record is from RNAcentral. Lineage: Eukaryota; Metazoa; Chordata; Actinopteri; Tetraodontiformes; Monacanthidae.